GGAUAUGGCUCAGUUUGGUAGAGCGCUGCGUUCGGGACGCAGAGGUCGCAGGUUCAAAUCCUGUUAUCC
RNAcentral lists this transfer RNA (69 nucleotides) under human gut metagenome. It matches the Rfam family "tRNA". From Rfam's summary of the family: Transfer RNA (tRNA) molecules are approximately 80 nucleotides in length. The record is from RNAcentral.